This 301-nucleotide ribosomal RNA is filed under the name uncultured bacterium. RNAcentral's name for it is "partial 16S ribosomal RNA". It matches the Rfam family "Bacterial small subunit ribosomal RNA", at positions 509 to 807 of the family's 1533-position model. The record is from RNAcentral.
CAGUCGCCGCGGUAAUACGAAGGUCCCGAGCGUUGUUCGGAAUCACUGGGCGUAAAGGGAGCGUAGGCGGCGUGGUAAGUCAGAUGCGAAAUCCCGGGGCUCAACCUCGAAAUUGCGUCGGAUACUGCAUUGCUAGAGGAUUGUAGGGGAGAGUGGAAUUCAUGGUGUAGCAGUGAAAUGCGUAGAUAUCAUGAGGAAGACCAGUUGCGAAGGCGACUCUCUGGGCAAUUCCUGACACUGAGGCACGAAGGCGUGGGGAGCAAACAGGAUUAGAUACCCCUGUAGUCCCUGUCUCUUAUAC